UACGUAGGAGGCUAGCGUUGUCCGGAAUCAUUGGGCGUAAAGAGCGUGUAAACGGCCCGGUAAGUCCGCUGUGAAAGUCGAGGGCUCAACCCUCGGAUGCCGGUGGAUACUGUCGGGCUCGAGUACGGAAAAGACGAGUGGAAUUCCUGGUGUAGCAGUGAAAUGCGCAGAUAUCAAAAGGAACACCUAUUGCGAAGGCAGCUCGCUGGGACGUUACUGACGCUGAGACGCGAAAGCGUGGGGAGCAAACAGG
RNAcentral lists this ribosomal RNA (253 nucleotides) under uncultured bacterium. RNAcentral's name for it is "partial 16S ribosomal RNA". It matches the Rfam family "Bacterial small subunit ribosomal RNA", at positions 524 to 776 of the family's 1533-position model. The record is from RNAcentral.